Molecule: ribosomal RNA, 313 nt
Filed under: uncultured Spirotrichea
Lineage: Eukaryota; Ciliophora; Spirotrichea
Description: SSU rRNA
Rfam family: Eukaryotic small subunit ribosomal RNA
Source: RNAcentral
AUUCUAGAGCUAAUACAUGCUGUAAAGCCCGACUUUUUGGAAGGGCCGUAUUUAUUAGAUAACAGACCAAUAUUCCUCGUGUCUAUUGUGGUGAAUCAUAGUAACUAAUCGGAUCGCAUGGGCUAGUCCCGCGACAAACCAUUCAAGUUUCUGCCCCAUCAGCUUUCGAUGGUAGUGUAUUGGACUACCAUGGCUUUUACGGGUAACGGAGGAUUAGGGUUCGAUUCCGGAGAGGGAGCCUGAGAAACGGCUACCACAUCUAAGGAAGGCAGCAGGCGCGUAAAUUACCCAAUUCUAAUUCAGGGAGGUAGUG